CAGGGAGAACAUGCAAACUCCACACAGGCAGCACCCGAGGUCAAGCUCAAAGCCGGGUCUGUGGCACGGGUGAGGCAGCA
Long non-coding RNA from Amblyraja radiata (thorny skate), 80 nucleotides. RefSeq lists it as uncharacterized. The transcript has 3 exons. Lineage: Eukaryota; Metazoa; Chordata; Chondrichthyes; Rajiformes; Rajidae. The record is from RefSeq and is a predicted model, not a curated record.